UGGCAGCAGAGCUUGGACUUUUGCUGCAGUUUGGGUCUUCGUCCCAUUUCUUUCAGCUCUGCCUCUGAAUUCCAAUGCUUUUCAACUCUCACAAAAGUCAACUGGGCGCUGAAUUGGAACUACUGGACGGCGGGACGCGCGAUGGGCGCCUGGGGCCGCUGGGCUUGGUGCUCCGACUCGAAAGCCGUCCCUUUCACCGACGGAAUUAAUUGGGCCAACGGACAGCCAGACAACUCGAAUCCAGAAGAACUUUGCGUCCACAUGCAGGUUGAUCGAAAUGGCACCGGAGUCUUUUUAACGGACAGAAACUGCAGUCACAAAUACGUGAUUGCGUGUCAGGUUAUUUAUUUGCAUAUUAUUAUCACAAAUUUUGACUUUCCUUCCUAGAGCGAUGUUGUGCAAAGCAAUUCGUGCACGGAGCCGACAUGCCCGACUCGCUGCCUAAAAAAUGAAACUUUGUUUGUCAGCUCGACGAUACAAGAUUUAUAUAUCCAUGGUUCCUGGAACACUGCGUGUGGAAAAGAAUAUUUAUUUUCAACAAAAAUUACAAACUGGCUGGAUGCUUGGAAUUAUUGCUGCUCACUCGGGAUGAAGCUUGCGACUAUUUCUGAUUUUGGGGAAAUGAACUGCCUAUCCAAAAUGGUCAACAAAUAUCCAGCAGCUGUUUAUUCAAAGCAAAUGGAUCGGGAAUUUUGGACUUCAGGGACCAAUUUAGGCUGUGCUGGGCCCCAUUAUUGGUGUUCGGAUGGGGAAAAAUUGAAUUUGGACGGCUUGCCAUAUUGGAAAGGCGGCCAGUUGCCAGCGGAGGCGGCCGGAAACUGUAUAUUCAUCUAUCCGGCAAACGUCACUGCGAAUGCCACGGUGCUAGGAGCGGAUGCUUGCACGGCGC
Cloeon dipterum is the source of this 889-nucleotide long non-coding RNA. RefSeq lists it as uncharacterized. The transcript is spliced from 5 exons. Lineage: Eukaryota; Metazoa; Arthropoda; Insecta; Ephemeroptera; Baetidae. The record is from RefSeq and is a predicted model, not a curated record.